RNAcentral lists this transfer-messenger RNA (331 nucleotides) under Planctomycetaceae bacterium. RNAcentral describes it as "partial transfer-messenger RNA". It matches the Rfam family "transfer-messenger RNA". From Rfam's summary of the family: Bacterial tmRNA, also known as 10Sa RNA or SsrA, is named for its dual tRNA and mRNA-like properties. Lineage: Bacteria; Pseudomonadati; Planctomycetota; Planctomycetia; Planctomycetales; Planctomycetaceae. The record is from RNAcentral.
GGGGGCGAUCGGAUUUGACUGGGUCACUGUAGAUCCGGGUGGCGUGUCGUGGUUGAUCAGUUGGCCACGUAAAAAGCUGAUCAAACAAUAACUGCAACUCCGCAGUACUCUCUGGCUGCCUAGAAAUAGGCCGUCCCGAACAAGGAAUCCCUGUCUGAGGAGUCCGAAGUUCGGUUGCAAAUUCAGACUGGCAUCAGCUCACUGUUCACUACGGCUUUUGCGAGAUCUUGUUGUGAACUAGCGUUGGACGGUUUUGUUCGGUGAACCUCGUCAACGCGAAUUCAAUCAACGGACUACACACGUAGAUGCCUUGUUCAAGGUACCACAGGAC